UACGUAGGUGGCAAACGUUGUUCGGAAUUACUGGGCGUAAAGCGCGUGUAGGCGGCCCUGCAAGUCGGGUGUGAAAUCCCACGGCUCAACCGUGGAAGUGCACUCGAAACUGCAGGGCUAGAGUCCUGGAGAGGAAGGUGGAAUGCUUGGUGUAGAGGUGAAAUUCGUAGAUAUCAAGCGGAACACCGGUGGCGAAGGCGGCCUUCUGGACAGUGACUGACGCUGAGACGCGAAAGCGUGGGGAGCAAACAGG
Molecule: ribosomal RNA, 253 nt
Filed under: uncultured bacterium
Lineage: Bacteria
Description: partial 16S ribosomal RNA
Rfam family: Bacterial small subunit ribosomal RNA
Source: RNAcentral